GCCGGGCCGCACGCCUCAGCCCAACAGCGCAUCCGGGCACCGAUUCCAUUUCCAGCGCCCGCUCAUGCCUCCUAAGUCGUUUGGUUUUGGUUUGGGUUUUUUGUUGGUUUUUUUUCGGAUAUAUUUAAGAGAUGGAAGUAGGAGAAAACACUGCAUCCAAAGAUAAUUGGAUGUUGUCGUUCUAAUUUCUUGUCAUCUCCCAUUCUAUAAUUUUCUGUAUCUUUUAAAUGUAUGGCGUUUGGAAGUAUGUUACUUUCACAGGCACUUAUUAGUUGCUACAUUCCAACUCAAAGUGGUUCGUUUUUAUUCUGCCUGCCUUUUCUAAUUCUCGGGUUUUUUCUUUGCCCAUUGACAUUUUAAAAUUAUUUUUGAAUAAUGAAAAGCUUUGUCAGAGAACAUGAGUGCUGCAGACAGUGUUUAAAGAUAGGCUAGAGCAGGGAGAGCGUAACGCUAAAUUUUCCAUGACAACUAACUUGUCCAAACAAGCAGCGGAUAACUGCCUGGACUUGUCUGCUGGCCAAAUACAGCUUCUCAGCAACCAUGGCACCUUGUAAAAAUUCCAGCAAUGGUUUAAAUCUAGAUAUUUGUGUGAUGAUGGAUUUUCAAGAUCACUUUGUUAUCCCUCUAGAGCAUAAAACUCAAGGUCUAGUGAGGGACAACCGAGAAGCUGCCAAAAUUCUGCAAAGCCUGCUCACCUUCUUUUAGUGCUGGGAUUUCAAGGCAAACAGAAAUCUGUUUCAAGUGGAGUCAAGAAUGUCCUGCAGCAGACAAAGUCCGAUAUCUGCUCUUUUCCACCCAGAACCCCAGUUCCUGAGAUCCUUAGCUAGCUGAUUUCAUUAUUAGGAGAAAACUCCAUCUACACAAAAAUACAAGAGGAUGGAAGUGAAUAGCUACUAAACAGCUCUGCUACUGAUGCUCAAUCUUUUCCUCAUGCAGACAACACAAAAACUAUUUAAUUCCAAUGCAAAAUAUAUUUUGCUGAACUGAAAUCAAACCAAACUGUUUAUGUAGUUCUCCCCAAGCUAUCACAUUAUUGAUCCUUGUCUUAAGCACAGUUCCAUUUUGCUAUGGCUGUUUGGAAAUUAAAGAGCUUUUUUAAAUUGGCAAUAAGUUUUCUGCAGUCCAAGACGUGCCAAACUCAUUACUAUGACUUGCUUUUCCCACUUCUCUACCAAUAAGCAUCUUGUGACCAAUGACUUUGAGACUAUUUAAAUAAUAAUUUCCCUUACCGACUCAUUAACUGCUAAGGAUAAAAAACCCUCAACAGUUUCUGUCUAGAAUUUUUAUCAGUCCUCAAGGACAAUCUUAUCUCUUUUCUCCAACAGAAUAAUCUUGAGUUAAAGGCGAUUGCAAGUAGGUAAAAUAUGCUGUCUGUGCUAGCUUAAGGAAAGAGGGGGUAUUUUCUGAUAUGCAGUGGUGCAACACUUGUUUGUCACUAAUACAGCUGGUGUUGCUAUGUCAUCAACAUACAUUAUUAUUUUCUUAUUAUUAUGUGCUUGAUAAUUCAGGACAAGUAUAAUUAAAAAGUUUUACUUGAAGGAUGAGUAAUAAGCUUGUAUAGUUACAACAGCUGGCUUCUCCACUAUUUGAAGGCUGUAAAAAGAAAAGGAGAUGUCACUAUACCUGUGUAUUUUACUUACAGUGCUACAGAAAAUAUCUGGAGUAGUUAAGACCCAGCUGCCUUAACUGGAGAGACUAACUUUAUAUUGUGGUUAACUAACAUUGUAUGAGACCCUUUUUAAUAUAAAUUCAGAUUCUAACUGUAGACAUUUCCCUGUUUAAUGCUUACAAGCUAAAUUAUUUCCUGAGUUGGAUCUGGUCCCCCUAUAGGCACAUGCGCCAGAAGAAAGGUGGGCCCUUGUGCUGCAGGAGUGCUCAACUCAAGUGAAUGGAUGGACCAUUAAAACACUUCAAUUUCUGAUUUUUGUUCCUCACUGUAAUUUUUUUGCAACCCCAAGAUGUCCUACUUACCUUUUCCUAGCAGACCCCUGUUCCGCAUCCAGCACAUACAUGAUGUGUUCCUUGCCAGAUGCUGAUCAGAGGCAUAGGUGGCCAGGGUUUGCCAGGUCUCAUCUCCAAGCCAUUUGCUCCUGAUCAGAUAGAAUAAUCUUGUACUGUCUAUGAACUGCACCCAGACAAAAAAAUAAAUAAAUUCAAAGCAACCCUCCUGGGCUUUGCACUGUGCUGAUAUACGCUUUCUGUAGCCUUAGAUUGUAUCUCUACUACUGUGACAUAAAGCUGGGAUCUGGGGUCCAUUGUGUGUUGCAGAUUAUCAGGCAUCUCAAGGUAAAAGGACAAAGGAAGAAAGAUGCUGAAAUGCAGCUGGGACAUGUGUUGCUUAAUGUGGCUUUCUGCCAGGGCUGCCUGCUGCAGCUGUGACCCCACGUGCCAGACAGUGGGUCAGUACAAUUCUGUACAAAUACAGGAGAAAGAAUUCUGUUGUUUUCUUGACACUCCUGUUGUGUAAAAAAAAGCACAGCAAUAAGAAAUCCUCAUGGCAGUAAUAGCAUAUUUAAUUCAGUGAAAUUAUAUUUCAUAAUCUAACACCUAUCCCAGUGGAGAGGUCUGUCAGCACCUCCACCAGAAAUUCUUACUAGAAAUGACACUCAGGUUCUACUAAGUGAAAAGCAGAUGCAGCCUUCCUGGGAGCAAGUUUGAACAGACAGGAAGGAAUCAAGAGCACAGCUCAUAGCAGCAGUGAGAACCCAAAAACCACAGGCAAUGCUAUUGCAGUGGUUUAACAAGGAACAGUAAAUUCUCCUUGCUGUCCAGCUUGUGUUUUCAUGGUGUGCAGGAGACAUGUUUAAGCUUCCCAGGGCUGCACUGCCGUUCCAAACAACCCCAGUUACUCUGCAGGCUGUGUGGCACAGCAGGCGUUCUACAGCUUCACCUGGGUGCACAUCCUGGGCUGUGGUGUCUUAUCACAGGAUCACACAAUAUUCUGAUUUGGAAGGAAACCCAAAAGGAUCAUCAAAAUCCAACUCCUGGCCCUGCACAGGACACUUCCGAGAAUCACACCAUGUGCCCCAUGAGUGCUUUGGAUAUGAGAUUGCCAGUUUCCUACACUUCCAUAACUUCAGGUAUUUAUUCUGAAAAAUGUAAAAUUACUUCAGGUGUACUGGAAAAGAGGGUCUCAAAAAAAACCUUUUCUGGCAGCUGUUCAUGAGCUCUUACCUUCCUCCCACAAGCACUCAGUUCAUGUGUGUCUGCUCUCCAGCACGUUAACUACAGCUGCUUCAAAACCACUGGAGGUGGAAUUACCCCACAUCAGAAAACAGCAGCUCUUCUGCUUUUGUUUAAUUGGUGUACUUUUCAUCCAUCUGGGAGACAUUGGUAAUCUGAUGCCCAAAUCUGAUUUCUAUUUAGCAGCAGGGCAGUCAGCCACAAGCACAAUUAAACAAAACAAUAGUGCAUGCUUUCUGAAGGGAAGCCAACUGGCAAAAAUAUAAACCAGUUCUUUUGAACUCAAAUAUCCAACACAACUCAAUAUCCAACACAGAAUGAAAGGCUCAGGUGUUUUUUCCCACUCUAGUUUUCUGUUUAGUCCUCACUUUUGAAUGAAGCUAAUGGAACAAUUCUAAAGAACUAAAAGGGAAAAAUCUCAGGAAAAGACUCCUCUUACUUUCAAAUAGUUUUUGUUAAGCACAUCACUGAGUGAAGAAACAUACUUUUCUUCUUAAGCAGGAGUGAAAUAUGUGACUAGAUUGUAACCAUAUCCUGCUUCACUAAACUGUGAAAAUUAAACAAUCCAGUGAUCUCUCCUUUGGUAGAAAUACUUGAUUGUAUGCAAUUAGAUCAGAAAAGCCCCAGUAUAAUCAUGCUCAUCUGCCUUAUUUAAUCAAACUAGGAUAAUGCCAAUUCAGUUUAGAAUUGUUCUUUUAAUUCAGUGCUCAUUUGUCAUUCAAAUGUGCUGUUCAAUCCAGCACAAAAAACCAUUUCUCUUCAAGGGAGUGGCCCAGAAGGGUGUGUGGGGUAUGCGCAGGCUAAUAUGACUUAUGUGAAACAUAGUGGUAUCUUUCAGUCUGAAACUGGAAUGUAUUCAGGGACAAUCUAGAUCCAGGAGAAGCUGAGAGCAAACACAACAUGCAAUCCAAAUCCAGUCUGGAAUGCUAUGCAUGGAGAGAACUACAGCUGAUGAUGAAGUCACGCCUGAAGUACUGUUCAAGUCAGGCUGCAGUCUAGUUUAGAGGAAGAAAAGACAAAAAAUAUUUUAAGGGUCCAUCUGUUACUUGAACUGUUUGUUUCUAACAACAAAACCCAGAAGGGAUUUUAUUACACAACCAGCUUCUUAACUCAGACCCAUUCCAGGUACCUGAUCAUUUAUCUCCCAGAAUUGUCCUUGCUGGACCAUCCUUGCUGGGUCUUGCUGACCCAGUUGCACACAUCUCCUCUGCAUGCUCCAUACUUGCUUUCUAGCUGCCUGUUAUACAAAGAAUAUAUGCUUUCCUUUGGAUCACAGGAUCUAUAAAAUCCUUCCUUGCAGACCUUCUUGUGCUCCACUCCACAAUUUAAUGUUUCGUUGAUGCAGUCUUACUGACUGGUGUAUGAUUUUACUUGACACAGGAUGAACCAUCCAUUCCUGAAAAAAGCCUCAGCCCUCUUCCUUUCCUAUUACGAUUGAUUUACAGAUGAAUUACAAAGUCACCUUUCUGCUGGCUCUCUAUGUUUGGGAGCACAGCUUCUUCAGUACGAGUUUUAGCAUACGGUUGUAGCAUAUGCAGUUAAACAAUAGUGCAAGUAGCUAGACAAGUAGUUUGGAGCAUUUACUAGAGGCAUUAGUGUCUGAUGUAGCCUUGACCUGAAACUCUCAAGGCAAGUAAGAGUAGUUUCCCUCCAAGAGUUUGUUGCCAUCACAGACAGGGCUAAGUUAUCACUCUUGCAUGUAUAUUCUGAAGCCCACUUUCGAAGUAGAUUUGCUGCAAAUAGUUUCCUUGAGAUUAAAUAUACCCCCAGAUGAGGCAUAAAUCCACAUACCUCCUGAAACAAGCUGAUUUAUCUUGCUAAGUCAUCCUUCUGAAAAACCACACUGCUUACCCAGCCUGUCUUUUUUCUUUUGCCCAUAUGCCCUGUCUUGAUUCAGGUGGAUCCUGAUCACAAGUCACCUCUGCACCCAGCAGCUGGUAUUCAAUAGCUUGCUGCCAAGUGAGAGAAGUUUUUUACAGCGCCCAGUUGCUUGCCUGUGAGUUAGCACCUGUUUAAACACAAACAUGAAACAAUGGCAUGAUGAAACAGAAACAGUUGUCUCUGUGGAGCAAGGGAAUAGUAACCUCAGCACAGCAUUCAGCAGAGAGCUGGGUAUUGCUGGGAGGAGUUUGUGACCCACAGAGAUGCAGCACAGUUCCACUGCAACAGCAAUGACGGUUUACCUGCUUACUCCGAGCUGGGUUCCAAGGCCCUGGAACUUGACUGUCACAGAAAUCAAGGGAAAAUGUCAUGUUUUCCCCCUGGGUCAAGGAAAAAGCUCUGACACAUGUUUUACGUUCUCACAUCUGCAGUAAGAAACACUAAGGAAGUGGAAAUUUGGCAUCCUCCAGAUCGGAUGCCAGACACUGGUUGGGAUGACCAGCACUGUCUUGAGCUUCUUUUUCAUAUUCACCUCUGAUUUUCUCCACUUUGACUCUAACAGUGUUUUCUUCCCAGUACUUGCAUAUUCCUGUAUCCUCCUCUCCUCCAUGUAAUUUCUGCUUUUCAGAUUGUGUCAAUAUUUCCACAGCAUAUUAUAUAUAUAUAUAUAUAUAUAUAUAUAUAUACACAUACAUGCUCUAGAGCUAUAAAAAGUAGUUCCAUACUAAGAGCUCACAAGCUAUUCUGCAAUUACUCUUAUGUGUCCUAAUUUUUGGUAGUUAUAUUGUUUGUAGUUUGUAGAAUUGGAUCAAAAAAGAAGCAAGAGGGUUUGUUCCUUUUGAAAAGUGUUUUAAUAUCCAUAUAUUUCACACUCUGCUUUUCUUCUUUUAUUGUAGUUUUAAUUCUUCAUAAGUUCCACCUGAAAGCCAGCUGGUAGCAGUUUCCAAUAUGUGGCAUGCAUUACCCUGAGGUGGACUGUGUUGGGCCAUCUGCACUAGAGACAUUUGAACAAGUAAAAGAUCAGUUCCCUGAGGUAGUCCUGAGCAGCUACACAGCAGCUGGCCCAGGACAUCACUGGAGUGGCAGCAGACAGGCAGGGAAAAGGUGGGAUCUGUUUCAGCUAUCUUAGCAGCAUUACUAGGGAGGAAGACUACAUUAAGCUUGUAUGAUUUCAAGGCAUUCCACUGUGAGAGAGGUGUUCCAUUCUCCUCCUUGCCUCCUCACUUAUGGCUGUAAGCUGAUGGUAAGAAUGUUUUAGGAAAAAGAGUGGUGUUGGAUUGCCUCAGCCUCCUUGCACUGUUUGGUGAUGCAGCUGAGCCCAUCAGUGCCUCACCGAAAUAAUGUCUGGAGCUCAUCUGUUGCCCUGUUGAAACAUUAGCCUUGCCAGGAGCUGUGCAUUCCUAGCCAAGCAUUUCUUUGAACUGGCUUUGGCUCCUUUGACCACAUAUUUAUCUGAUUCAACAGCAGGAUAUUUACUUGUAUUUGCUGUUAGUAUGUCAGCUUGCUUUAUCAAGAACACAUAAGACAUCAUAAAGAAAGCAGCAGGGACACACAGCUGGAAGCAGAGAAUCAGAGAUGGAAAUGGGGAAAUAGGCAGGGAGCCACUCAGUGGUCUUUUCCUUAUUAUCUAACCACACCUUGAAUGUUAUCUCCUGUAUCAGUCACCUGGGCUGAUAAACCAGUUAGAACUGGGGAAGCAAAGAGUGCAUGUUAGCACUGAUGACAACUUCAGUUACCCAAAGCCAGCUUUUCCUGUGUUGCAAAGGAGCUGAAAGGUUUGCAAGAUACUACCAAAGAAGGCACUUCUGAUGGUAAUUUGCAGGCCGUUGUGUUUUUUAACUCAUUUGCUCUGUACUUCAAACUGAAAGUGCUCUUUUCUGUGAGGGCUGAUUUUAAAAUACAAGACAUCGUCCCCCUCUGCCGUUGUUGUGACUUUGUGACAAAAGUUACUGCCUUUGCAACACAAUUUAAGUUGGAGGGAUUGUUGGAAAUGAUACAACUUCUGACAUUUUUAAUGUAAUUUUAGUCAGGGGUUUGUUUGCCUUUCCCCAGGGAGAGGGGAAUUGAAGUUUCUCUUCAAAAGACGCUGUUCACCCCGCUGGCGGGGGUCUGAUGAUCUUAACAUCUACAGACUGGGAGCAGCCAGAAAGUGCACAGGAGACAAGCGACCAUCAAGGACCAUUACCCGCCCUGGUGCGGUAGGAGACACCUGGUCAGGGAAAAGAUCGCCAAGAGAACCGAAGAAUGAGGAUCAAAUUAGCAUCGAAGACAGAGGGAAUCAAUAACCCAUAGAAAACAGAAAUACGAAGAUCUGUGUAAUUUAAGACCAAUGAAUGUGAAUUGAUUUGGGAUUCGUCUGUAUAAAGAUGAGAAAUGUGUGGUGAGAAACCAUUUGUAAUGGAAUCAUUUUCACUGCACAAACCAGGCAUGUGUGGAAGGAAUUUCUAUUGCACAUUCUGGCCAAAAUAGCAUCCUGGCCAGAAUAGAGUACUGCCUUGAUUCUCUAACAAAACAGAGAUGUUGGAGAGUUUCUGGUUUUCCUGCAGUCUCAGUGACAGGAUCACUACCCACAUCUCAGUUAUCACUCUAACAUGUUAAACUGAUACUCCAAGGAUUGUAUCCACAGCAAGGGCACACAUUCCUUUUUGCUGACACAGACUGGAAAAUAACAAUCAUCUCUGGAAAAACAGAAGCCUGAAGGAGCUGGGGGGGGGAGGCAGGGGGGGCGGUACUGGUACACACCACUGGCAACCUCUGCACACAGACUGAGUCCUUUUGGUUCAUGUAGCCAUACAAUUAUUUCAUGCAACACCAAAAUGAUGACUGCACUAAAACGAGGAAAACUGUAUGGUUUUAUCUAUGUCUCAUAUAUGCAUAUCCACUCUCCAUUUUUACUAGAUUCUGGUUCCAGUUUCCAGUGCAAACAAUCCCUCUUUAGAUCCCAGUGUCUCUGGCUUUUACUACAAUCCAAUCUGCCAAACCACUUGUGCAGCAAAGUCUUUAUCUGACAUCCCAAUCAUCUUUGCAACAACUGAGCUGUCAAAAGGAAGGCUGAGACUGCGGUCAGAGGGAGAGCACCUGCAGGAAAAGAGCAAACUUGUAUGAAGUAGAAAAGCUGGUGCUUCUUUCCAUCUGCCCAAUUGUAACAGUAGAAAAACAAAGAGCUGCAUCUUCAGAAUUAGAAGUGAAAUUAUUUUGCAAAACAAAACAUAUUUUCACUAUAUAUACACAGUAGCCUUUCAUUUAUUAAAAUAAUUUCCCCUUUUUUGUUUUCUUAUUAAACAGGGAAUUUGGGUUUUGAAAGGCUAAAAUAAAAUUUUAAGAGGGAAAAAACCCAUAACACAAGCAAAAACCUGCGAGUCUUUAAUCCAAAAUCUGUUUGUUUCAUAAUCAAGGUAAAAUAUAACUAUUUAACUGGAAGAAAAUCUGUCAUCUUGGAAGAAAAAUCUUAAUAUGAAAGGUGAUGUGGGGUUAAGUCAUGCUCUCUGAUUUUUUAACUUGCAAGCCUAUUGUUAAAAGCAGGAACAUAAAAAUCAUAAAGUUAAAAAGCUCUCACCAAUCAGUAAGCCUUUUUCCUUCCCCAAGUACAUUGAUGAAUUUCAGGCCAGAUGUUUCUCAGUCUCUGCUAAAUACCUGAACAGUGAGCCAGUGUCCACUAUUGCUCAAAAGCAGGCCUCUCCUCAGCAGCCCAACUGUACUGAUAUAUACAGCCAGCUAUGAAAUCCAGCAUCUUUUGAUAGAUUUUGCAGAUUUGGCAAGAAAGAUGUGUGUUAGACGUUAGCUCAACUCCAAAAUGUUAAAAACCACUCUUCUGAAGCUCUUAUAUAAUAAGAUAUUAUAAAAAUGAGAUUUUACCUUAAUAUUUAACCAGCAUUGACUACCAGUAAUAUUUUUUAAAAAUUAAUAAAAAAAUAUGGGUAGCUAAACCGAGUUUUAAUGUUGCUCUAGCCCCAGACCAUCGCUGAGCAUUCAUUUCAUGAGAUGAGAGAGAGAGGAUACAGUCCUGCUGAAUUGCAGUUCUGUCCUGAAGGUUGUAGACUUCCUGCAAGACAAACCUCCUUUUCAUACAUGUAACAGCAGCAAACCACACUCCUUCAACCCCAAGCCUGAGGGAGCAGCUGUUCACCCAUCUACAGGAAAACUCCUCUGGCACUCUGCCCCAGAGCCUGCAAGAACUUAGCAAGUUGUACAAAACCCGAUGCAAAAGCUGUCAAAUGAGUGCCAAGUUACCAAAGUUAAAGGCAACACAAAGCUUUACACUGAGUAUCUCUUAAAUGAAGACACACUUCCUAUUGCUUUGGGGAAAAUGGGAAAACCUUGUGGAUAUUAUUCUAAAGUGUUUUUGAGGACAAGGCUAGAUAACUUACCACCAGUCACUCACAUUUGAAUCAGAAUCAUUUGUUCUCAUUUUUAACUGCCAUCUGGGUAUCUACAGUUCCAUUUGAACUACAUCAAUGGUAGCUUCUUAAAGAAAAGAAUGCUAACAUAGCAGGAAAGCAUUGCAUGGGAGAAAAAGACCAAAGCCUAUCCUGUUGAUAUGACAGUUUAGUCAUAUCAAGUAUGAAGUAAAAUGAGAAGCAGAAAGCAAAUUCUAGGGCACAUAUGGGAUGGCUUCAAUUGCAACAGCUCACACAGGGUGAUGGCUACACAUUGCUGAAGAUGGCAAGUCUCUGAUUUCUCUUUCAGGAAGCCAAGACUGCACUUAGCAGUGCACUUACAUGCAUUUACCAGGAAAACACAUUCAAGUGAUGUGUAAUGAAAACUAGAAUAAGCAAAUAAGUAUCAGUAAUUUUUUGAAGACUCCAGUUCUUAAAAUUCUCCUCAUUUGUGCCAAAAGUCAAAAAAGUUCAAAAUUCCCUGCCAUAUUCAUAUGGACAGAAAUAAAUCCAUGUGGUACCAUUUUGUCUUAUACACACCUAGACCCCCAAAGUUAUGUAAUUCAAGUAGAAGAUGAAAAAAGACAAGAACAACUCAUCUCUUGUGCAAUAAGCAGGUAUCAGACAAAUGAUUAAAAAUUUAUUCCCACCCUACACAUGGUAUCCAAAGAAAAAAUACAUACAAAGAUCUAUUUAUCCCACAAUUACACAAGCAUCCUGCAUUUAAUAUUUUGAACCAUAUGACAAAGUUCAAGAUACUUUAUUUAUUAGAUACAACAAGUAAAUCUCAAAAUAGGGUUCCUGAAUGCAUGAAAAAAAAAAAAAUCACAUCGCUUAAGUGACUCCCACACACACAUCUUCCAGCACCAGAUUAUAUUUAUAAUGUACUUUUUUUAAUGAUGCUGUUAAUUUUCUCUUGCAGAUCUGCUCUUCUCCUUACAGAGUCUUUUGUAUUUCCAGACAUUGUUGUUUAGUUCAUUCUACCACUUUAUAUAUAUAUAUAUAUUUACAUCCAUCUCAAAUAUUUUUGUCCUACAGGCAUGUAAUUCAGUUGUUUUCUAGUUGUUUCUUUUUUGCAGUCUAUCUACAUCUCAAAAGAACUUGUGCACAGCACAAAUUAAUGCAAAUGGAUUUCUCAGUCUACAUACUGAAGGAUAUGCAUCCAGAGCUUGACCAUCUGAACACAUCUUUCAGCAGUCCAGGCUGUAUUUUUAAACUAAUUACAUAGAUCUACAAAACUGUAAUAAAAAAAUUAUUCUCAGACCACUACAAUGUCCAAGAAACAGUUGGUAAAGAUGUAAAAUUAUUCAGGUAUUUGUAACUCUGAACUGAUGUAGAGUGUUACCGUAUAAACUUAGGUUACAGAGAGGAGUAACUUUUUCUUAAAUCAAGAACUCUGUAGCAGAAUAAAUAAUUUACAAGCUUGAGAAAAUUUGCAUUGUUUCCAACACAAAUACUUCUUUCCUCUAUUGUAAAAAACUUAGAACUAAAUAUUAUUUCUGUCCAUGGCCGCACAACUUAAAUACUUGGUUUUUUCCACACAGUUCCCCUCUUUAAAUCUGGUAGAGGUAGAUGAAGACAAAACAAACCCCAACAUGUAAAGAUUAAGAUACUGCAAUUAAAUUCUAACCCUGCAAAUCUAGUGAACAUCUGUUCUCACCAGAUUUACAGAAAGCAGUUAUUUUUUCUUCCCUUUUUUAAAAUAGAACAGCACUGAACUUCUUCCAUCCACAUUGUCAAAAUAAGUGCCUGAUACUGUCAUAAAAUAAUUUUCAAAGCAUUUUUUAAUUAGAGCAGAAGCAGGUCCCACCUUGCACUCUCCAGUCAUUCAGAUACAUUUCUUAGGACUGCCUGUUGAGGAAAUGCUGCCUCACACCCAGCAUUUCCCAGACAGCCCCUGGGCCUCACCCCUAAAACGAUGACAACAGACAAACCUACAGAUCCCACCCGAAAUAACUCUUGGGGAAAGGCGUGGGAGCAAGGGAGGUGGUGCUGAAGGCAAGAGAGAGAACUUGGCAACCUUCACACCCAUUAAAGAUGGUGACCUUUCUGAAGCCUUCUCAAAAAUAUUUUUUAGCAUGGGUAUCUGUGUGCAAGGGCUGCAAAACAUUUGGUUACUACCACAAAAUCAGAGAUUUUAUUAGGCUCACAGGUAUUUACAAGAUCUUGUGUAAAUCUUCUGUCUUGGUUUUGGCACAGAGAAAAUUAUAAAGCAGAAACAACAUUUUUGAAAACAUUAAUUACUUCAUUAAUGUCCUGACAAAUUAAAAGAGAAAAUUAAGAUGAACUGUUUAGAUCUGAUUUCCUACUUUUCCACACCUUGGCCUGUGGCUUCAAACUUUCUGCUUUCCUCUUUACCUGUAAUUUUACCUACUUCAUCUAAAAAUCUAUCUGUGUUCAAGACAGAGAUAAGAAAGCAUAUACAAGAAAUAGGAAUGAGUCUGGCACCUCUUUU
Molecule: non-coding RNA, 11895 nt
Organism: Cyanistes caeruleus (blue tit)
Lineage: Eukaryota; Metazoa; Chordata; Aves; Passeriformes; Paridae
Source: RefSeq, a predicted model, not a curated record